Anthonomus grandis grandis is the source of this 791-nucleotide long non-coding RNA. RefSeq lists it as uncharacterized. NCBI's taxonomy places the organism in Eukaryota, Metazoa, Arthropoda, Insecta, Coleoptera, Curculionidae. The record is from RefSeq and is a predicted model, not a curated record. The transcript is spliced from 2 exons.
CAAAAUUUAAAUAGGCCUUUCUGAACCAAUUUAUUAAUUAAAAAUAGCUUAUGAGGAUAGCACUCAUCGCUGUUAAGACCCAACCAAAUCAUGUUUUUCGAAAUUACUUUAUUUUUAAUUUUUGUAGCUACUAGUUCUUGAUGCUUAUAUUUAUUGUAAUAAAUGUUAAAUGUGGCCAUUGAUCUGAUAAUAACUUGCUCGAGUUCGGGGCUUGGAAUAAUGAGUGAUGUCCUUUCUUGCCCAGUGAAGCUCUUAUUAAGGAGAAAUGAUUGUGAAGGCUCUGACAAAUUUAUAUUAGUCUGAAAAUUAAGUUUGCAUUUUGAACACUUAAAUUGUUCUAUAACACGUCUUACUAAAUAUCCAGCAUAAUAAUGAUUUGCAGAUUGUUCUAAACUAAUUUUUGAUGUUACAGUUUCUCCUACUUUAGCAACCUCCAUUGAUUCAUUGGACAUAUCAUUGGAAUUAUCCUCAUCCAUGUGUAUGUUAGUCUUGUUAGAGUUAGAGGUAUCAAUAUUGGUGUUUUUAGACAAAUUUGUGAUUUAGCAGUUGGGUUUAAAUUCCACCCUCCCCGUUGUCUAGCCAUGGAAAAUAAAUUUUCUAAAAAGUCUUGAUUUAGUAUAUUCGUGAGUAUAAACUGGAUCUUAUCCCGCUUUUCGCUAUUAAAAAGUUGUUCUAUUGCAUUAAUAGUCUGUACCAUACCAUCGAAACAUGGAGGCCUUGUUUCAAAAAUGCCGGACUUACCCUUUUUACGGUCCAAUUGAGAUAAAGAACCAAAAACAGAUUUCCCUUGU